UGGGGAAUAUUGCACAAUGGGCGCAAGCCUGAUGCAGCCAUGCCGCGUGUGUGAAGAAGGCCUUCGGGUUGUAAAGCACUUUCAGCGAGGAGGAAGGCGGUGAGCUUAAUACGCUCAUCAAUUGACGUUACUCGCAGAAGAAGCACCGGCUAACUCCGUGCCAGCAGCCGCGGUAAUACGGAGGGUGCAAGCGUUAAUCGGAAUUACUGGGCGUAAAGCGCACGCAGGCGGUUUGUUAAGUCAGAUGUGAAAUCCCCGGGCUCAACCUGGGAACUGCAUUUGAAACUGGCAAGCUAGAGUCUCGUAGAGGGGGGUAGAAUUCCAGGUGUAGCGGUGAAAUGCGUAGAGAUCUGGAGGAAUACCGGUGGCGAAGGCGGCCCCCUGGACGAAGACUGACGCUCAGGUGCGAAAGCGUGGGGCAGCAAACAGGAUUAGAUACCCCUGGUAGUCCAGCGCUGUAAACGAUGUCGAUUUUGGAGGUUGUGCCCUUGAGGCGUGGCUUCCGGAGCUAACGCGUUAAAUCGACCGCCUGGGGAGUACGGCCGCAAGGUUAAAACUCAAAUGAAUUGACGNGGUCAUAGCUGUUUCCUG
RNAcentral lists this ribosomal RNA (591 nucleotides) under uncultured bacterium. RNAcentral describes it as "partial 16S ribosomal RNA". It matches the Rfam family "Bacterial small subunit ribosomal RNA", at positions 355 to 1376 of the family's 1533-position model. The record is from RNAcentral.